CUGCUGUCUUCCCACCUCCUCUUGCCCCCUUGGACUCUUCUUUGGAAGACUAGACUUUCCCUUGCUUUCCCAUCAACCCAGCUCUCAGAGCAGCUCCAAGUACACUGUUGGUACUUUGUACAUCAUUGGAAUGAAAGAACACUGUGAAGUCCCACAGGUUUCAUUCUCUUUGGUCUCGUCUUUUCCAUGGCAACCACCUUUUUAAAGGCUUCCUUUAUCUUUUGCUCUGAUUUGCAAUUGCCUCCUAAAUUGUCUCUUUAACCUUCCUUUCCACUCUCCAUUCUGACCAAAUCGUGU
This 297-nucleotide long non-coding RNA is filed under the name Homo sapiens (human). Its description in RNAcentral is "LHRI_LNC1986.1". The record is from RNAcentral. Lineage: Eukaryota; Metazoa; Chordata; Mammalia; Primates; Hominidae.